This 92-nucleotide ribosomal RNA is filed under the name Marchantia polymorpha (common liverwort). RNAcentral describes it as "partial 5.8S ribosomal RNA". It matches the Rfam family "5.8S ribosomal RNA", at positions 64 to 154 of the family's 154-position model. From Rfam's summary of the family: 5.8S ribosomal RNA (5.8S rRNA) is a component of the large subunit of the eukaryotic ribosome. The record is from RNAcentral. Lineage: Eukaryota; Viridiplantae; Streptophyta; Marchantiopsida; Marchantiales; Marchantiaceae.
AGUGUGAAUUGCAGAAUUCCGCGAAUCAUCGAGUUUUUGAACGCAUGUUGCGCCCGAGGCUUUGCCGAGGGCAUGUCUGCCUGAGCGUCACC